Molecule: non-coding RNA, 72 nt
Organism: Heterocephalus glaber (naked mole-rat)
Lineage: Eukaryota; Metazoa; Chordata; Mammalia; Rodentia; Bathyergidae
Source: Rfam
UGGGAUGUAGCCCAGUGGUAGAGCACUUGCCUAGCAUGCACAAAGCUCUAGGUCCAAUCCCUAGCAACACAC